This 70-nucleotide microRNA precursor is filed under the name Procavia capensis (Cape rock hyrax). RNAcentral describes it as "miRNA (ENSPCAG00000020183.1)". Lineage: Eukaryota; Metazoa; Chordata; Mammalia; Hyracoidea; Procaviidae. The record is from RNAcentral.
CUUCAGGUCCCUGUUCGGGCGCCAGAAUGUCGCAGCCCAAGACCCCCUUUGCCCGCAAAGGAGAGGACCG